This 206-nucleotide ribosomal RNA is filed under the name uncultured bacterium. RNAcentral's name for it is "partial 16S ribosomal RNA". It matches the Rfam family "Bacterial small subunit ribosomal RNA", at positions 570 to 774 of the family's 1533-position model. The record is from RNAcentral.
CGUAGGUGGCUUUACAAGUCUGGAGUGAAAGUCCCGUUUUUAAGGUGGGAAUGGCUUUGGAAACUGUAAGGCUUGAGUGUGGGAGAGGAUAGCGGAAUUCCCGGUGUAGCGGUGAAAUGCGUAGAGAUCGGGAGGAACACCAGUGGCGAAGGCGGCUAUCUGGACCCAAGACUGACACUGAAGCGCGAAAGCGUGGGUAGCAAACA